GAUGAAACUUUAACAGAACCCUUCGGGGCGAAGAUAAAGUGGAUUAGCGGCGGACGGGUGAGUAACACGUGAGUAACCUGCCUUAGACAUUGGGAUAGCCUCGGGAAACCGGGAUUAAUACCAAAUAAAAUCAUAAUGACACAUGUCAUAACGAUCAAAACUCCGGUGGUCUAAGAUGGACUCGCGUCCCAUUAGCUAGUUGGUAGAGUAAAAGCCUACCAAGGCGACGAUGGGUAGCCGGCCUGAGAGGGCGAACGGCCACAUUGGAACUGAGAAACGGUCCAAACUCCUACGGGAGGCAGCAGUGGGGAAUAUUGCACAAUGGAGGGAACUCUGAUGCAGCGACGCCGCGUGAACGAAGAAGGCUUUCGAGUCGUAAAGUUCUUUUAUAUGGGAAGAUAAUGACGGUACCAUAAGAAAAAGCCCCGGCUAACUACGUGCCAGCAGCCGCGGUAAUACGUAGGGGGCUAGCGUUGUCCGGAAUCACUGGGCGUAAAGGGUUCGCAGGCGGAAAUGCAAGUCAGAUGUAAAAGGCAGUAGCUUAACUACUGUAAGCAUUUGAAACUGCAUAUCUUGAGAAGAGUAGAGGUAAGUGGAAUUUUUAGUGUAGCGGUGAAAUGCGUAGAUAUUAAAAAGAAUACCGGUGGCGAAGGCGACUUACUGGGCUCAUUCUGACGCUGAGGAACGAAAGCGUGGGUAG
This 700-nucleotide ribosomal RNA is filed under the name uncultured Eubacteriales bacterium. RNAcentral describes it as "bacterial SSU rRNA". It matches the Rfam family "Bacterial small subunit ribosomal RNA", at positions 54 to 768 of the family's 1533-position model. The record is from RNAcentral. Lineage: Bacteria; Bacillati; Bacillota; Clostridia; Eubacteriales.